UAGAAAUCUUUGAAAAUAGUGUGGAACGUUUCCAUCUUGCCAUUCUGAUUGGAUUAGUUACUGCAGUGUCGUCAAUAGUCGGAAUAAUCAUCUGGAAAAAGCCCUGGAAAGAUUCACCAACUGGGACCUACAUAACAGCUCGCACUUCUGAUGUCUCCAUUCCAGCUCCUUCAUGAUUCAGACAUUCCCGGAGCCUCAUUGAGGAAUGAAGGAAAUCUCCUGUUCCAGUGUGAACAUGGACACCAUUGAACAUCCUUCCAUAUCACAGCAGGCAAACAGAUUUUUGGCUCAUUGUUCGCACCCAGUCCUUUCAGGAAUGAGAUCGAUUUUUUUUUCUAGGGAAUGUAUUUCCACUGACUGAACAGUGAAUCCCGGAUUUGCAGGAAUGGGGGGAACCUGAUUCUUCAAGUGAGACCUUCUCAAGUCAUGAUCCAAUCCCAUCUCAGAAACGUGAGCAGCUUCACUGUCAGAGGAAUCUUCACAGAUGGUUUCUCCCUCACACUUUCUCAACUUCACUGUCUUCAGUGGUUCAGUCAUUUACCUGAAAUGAAACAAUGUCCUGAGGUAACUCAGAGACAGUUUUUAUAUUGUAGGCAACUGAAUGAUUUUGCACUUUUUGUCAACAAAUUCUAGUGGUCAUGUACAUAUCUGUGUAAAGUUUGCAACUGUCUAUCGUUAUGCUGAUGAAAAAUACUUGCUAUUUGUUUGUUAAUAUUUAACAUGCAUUCUAUUUUAAGCUGAACAGCUGUGUUUUGAAUUUGAAGUACCCGCUGUGAACUCCUGUGUGAUGUAUAAAUUUUACAAUCGGAUUUAUUUACAUUGUUAUUUACACUGUUAUUCAUCAAUGUUUAAC
Molecule: long non-coding RNA, 853 nt
Organism: Stegostoma tigrinum
Lineage: Eukaryota; Metazoa; Chordata; Chondrichthyes; Orectolobiformes; Stegostomatidae
Exons: 4
Source: RefSeq, a predicted model, not a curated record